AAUAGAUACCCGGGUAGUCCACCCCGUAAACGUUGGGAACUAGUUGUGGGGUCCUUUCCACGGAUUCCGUGACGCAGCUAACGCAUUAAGUUCCCCGCCUGGGGAGUACGGCCGCAAGGCUAAAACUCAAAGGAAUUGACGGGGACCCGCACAAGCGGCGGAGCAUGCGGAUUAAUUCGAUGCAACGCGAAGAACCUUACCAAGGCUUGACAUACACGAGAACACUCUGGAAACAGGGGACUCUUGGACACUCGUGAACAGGUGGUGCAUGGUUGUCGUCAGCUCGUGUCGUGAGAUGUUGGGUUAAGUCCCGCAACGAGCGCAACCCUCGUUCUAUGUUGCCAGCACGUUAUGGUGGGAACUCAUGGGAUACUGCCGGGGUCAACUCGGAGGAAGGUGGGGAUGACGUCAAAUCAUCAUGCCCCUUAUGUCUUGGGCUUCACGCAUGCUACAAUGGCCGGUACAAAGGGCUGCAAUACCGUGAGGUGAGCGAAUCCCAAAAAGCCGGUCCAGUUCGGAUUGAGGUCUGCAACUCGACCUCA
This 542-nucleotide ribosomal RNA is filed under the name uncultured bacterium. RNAcentral's name for it is "bacterial SSU rRNA". It matches the Rfam family "Bacterial small subunit ribosomal RNA", at positions 777 to 1320 of the family's 1533-position model. The record is from RNAcentral.